Molecule: non-coding RNA, 118 nt
Organism: Pelobates cultripes (western spadefoot toad)
Lineage: Eukaryota; Metazoa; Chordata; Amphibia; Anura; Pelobatidae
Source: the annotation of a GenBank genome assembly
CACACACACGCAGCGUGUAUAUGUAUGUGUGUGUAUAUAUAUAUAUAUAUAUAUAUAUAUAUGCAUAUAUAUAUAUAUAUAUACACACACACAUACAUAUACACGCUGCGUGUGUUUG